This 434-nucleotide ribosomal RNA is filed under the name uncultured bacterium. RNAcentral's name for it is "partial 16S ribosomal RNA". It matches the Rfam family "Bacterial small subunit ribosomal RNA", at positions 341 to 792 of the family's 1533-position model. The record is from RNAcentral.
ACGGAAGGCAGCAGUGGGGAAUAUUGCACAAUGGGGGAAACCCUGAUGCAGCAACGCCGCGUGAGUGAUGAAGUAUUUCGAUAUGUAAAGCUCUAUCAGCAGGGAAGAUAAUGACGGUACCUGACUAAGAAGCCCCGGCUAACUACGUGCCAGCAGCCGCGGUAAUACGUAGGGGGCAAGCGUUAUCCGGAUUUACUGGGUGUAAAGGGAGCGUAGGUGGUAUGGUAAGUCAGAAGUGAAAACCCAGGGCUUAACCUUGGGAUUGCUUUUGAAACUAUCAAACUAGAGUGCAGGAGGGGUAAGCGGAAUUCCUAGUGUAGCGGUGAAAUGCGUAGAUAUUAGGAAGAACACCAGCGGCGAAGGCGGCUUACUGGACUGUAACUGACACUGAGGCUCGAAAGCGUGGGGAGCAAACAGGAUUAGAUACCCUGGUA